AAAUGACUCUGGUCAAUCGAUAUCUAGGAUCUUGCAUCAAUGAAGAACUUGGUGUGAAUUGCAGAAUCCCAUGAACCAUAGAGUAUUUGAACGCAAGUUGCGCCCGAAGCCAUUAGGCUGAGGGCACAUCUGUCUGGGAGUCAUGCA
Molecule: ribosomal RNA, 147 nt
Filed under: Capsicum eximium (Ulupica de Chaco)
Lineage: Eukaryota; Viridiplantae; Streptophyta; Magnoliopsida; Solanales; Solanaceae
Description: 5.8S ribosomal RNA
Rfam family: 5.8S ribosomal RNA
About the family: 5.8S ribosomal RNA (5.8S rRNA) is a component of the large subunit of the eukaryotic ribosome. It is transcribed by RNA polymerase I as part of the 45S precursor that also contains 18S and 28S rRNA.
Source: RNAcentral